RNAcentral lists this microRNA (20 nucleotides) under Ciona intestinalis (vase tunicate). RNAcentral describes it as "cin-miR-367-3p". Its record names the gene cin-miR-367-3p. Lineage: Eukaryota; Metazoa; Chordata; Ascidiacea; Phlebobranchia; Cionidae. The record is from miRBase by way of RNAcentral.
UAUUGCACAUUGGAAUGGUA